RNAcentral lists this transfer RNA (71 nucleotides) under Camelus bactrianus (Bactrian camel). It matches the Rfam family "tRNA". From Rfam's summary of the family: Transfer RNA (tRNA) molecules are approximately 80 nucleotides in length. Their secondary structure includes four short double-helical elements and three loops (D, anti-codon, and T loops). The record is from Rfam by way of RNAcentral. Lineage: Eukaryota; Metazoa; Chordata; Mammalia; Artiodactyla; Camelidae. RNAcentral also lists the same sequence under 1 other name.
GAGGGUAUAGCUCAGUGGUAGAGUGCAUGCCUAGUAUGCACGAGGUCCUGGGUUUAAACCUGGUUCAAUCC